This 402-nucleotide ribosomal RNA is filed under the name uncultured bacterium. Its description in RNAcentral is "bacterial SSU rRNA". It matches the Rfam family "Bacterial small subunit ribosomal RNA", at positions 355 to 774 of the family's 1533-position model. The record is from RNAcentral.
UGGGGAAUAUUGCACAAUGGGGGAAACCCUGAUGCAGCAACGCCGCGUGAGUGAUGAAGGCCUUCGGGUUGUAAAGCUCUGUCUUUGGGGACGAUUAUGACGGUACCCAAGGAGGAAGCCACGGCUAACUACGUGCCAGCAGCCGCGGUAAUACGUAGGUGGCAAGCGUUGUCCGGAUUUACUGGGCGUAAAGGAUGCGUAGGCGGAUAUUUAAGUGAGAUGUGAAAUACCCGGGCUCAACUUGGGUGCUGCAUUUCAAACUGGAUAUCUAGAGUGCAGGAGAGGAGAGUGGAAUUCCUAGUGUAGCGGUGAAAUGCGUAGAGAUUAGGAAGAACAUCAGUGGCGAAGGCGACUUUCUGGACUGUAACUGACGCUGAGGCAUGAAAGCGUGGGGAGCAAACA